This is a long non-coding RNA of Suricata suricatta (meerkat), 299 nucleotides long. RefSeq lists it as uncharacterized. Lineage: Eukaryota; Metazoa; Chordata; Mammalia; Carnivora; Herpestidae. The record is from RefSeq and is a predicted model, not a curated record. The transcript has 3 exons.
AAUAUGGGCUUAAACAUUAAAAGGAAAUUUUUGAAGAACGGACACAAGCUGAAUGCAAUCAAAACAGAUUUUUACACAUGGAAACUUCACCAAUGAAAUUCAGUAUCUGCACCCCUGAAUGCUAACUAUCCAGUCGGUGACAGCUAUGCCAAUAAUCUGAACAAGGCACAACACUGGAAUUCUGAAAAGAAAACACGGAGCGAUGUUACACUGCCAGGACCAAACUCUAUCACUCCUUUAGUGUCUGGAAAGAGGCAUUCAGUAAGUUGAAGGAACCAAGUUUCUUUUAAAUAAAUAAA